GACGAACCGUGCGAACGUUGUUCGGAAUCACUGGGCUUAAAGGGCGCGUAGGCGGGCUCGCAAGUCAGGGGUGAAAGCCCACGGCUCAACCGUGGAAGUGCCUUUGAUACUGCAAAUCUCGAGUCCGAUAGAGGUGGGUGGAAUUCCUAGUGUAGAGGUGAAAUUCGUAGAUAUUAGGAAGAACACCGGUGGCGAAGGCGGCCCACUGGAUCGGUACUGACGCUGAGGUGCGAAAGCGUGGGGAGCAAACAGG
Molecule: ribosomal RNA, 253 nt
Filed under: uncultured bacterium
Lineage: Bacteria
Description: partial 16S ribosomal RNA
Rfam family: Bacterial small subunit ribosomal RNA
Source: RNAcentral